Molecule: long non-coding RNA, 1554 nt
Organism: Vespa crabro (European hornet)
Lineage: Eukaryota; Metazoa; Arthropoda; Insecta; Hymenoptera; Vespidae
Exons: 3
Source: RefSeq, a predicted model, not a curated record
AGACAUCGUACAGGAAUGAAUACUCCCGCAUUAAUUCUAUGAAUACUUCACUUUUGGUAUAUUGUAAUAAAAUUAAAAUAUAACAUUAGAGAAAAAGAUGUUCAGUUGUACGUGGUCAAAGCCGUACUGGUUGCUUGAAACGAACGGAAAUAAUGUUACACAAAGCAUUCUGGUCGUUUAGUUCUUGUGUCGAUCUAUGCCAUAGUGAGUUACAAUCCGUUUAAAUCAAUGCAAAGUAAUGCCGCUUUCCCACGAGGGCGUGAACCAAGAAGGUGAAUUACAUUUUUGUGGACUACGACUUGUGUGAGCAUGCUAUCGUGAAGAUUGCCUGUGACGUUAAUACCUCCACGACUCAGUUGUGACUGAGGAUCAAACCGGUUUGAAUUUCAAUCGUGGCAGUAGCACGCGUGGAACAAAAUAUCUACGCAGCGUUUUCGGUUUUGUCAGACGGGUUUUGUCGGGUUUGAUCAGAUGGAAUCAGUAUUUUAUAAUCCGACAUUUAAUGAAUACAGGGAUCGUGAUAUACGAGCAUCAGCAAGAAUUUAACGAAUUUCGGAGACUUUAAGUACAAAUGGUUUCGGAGACUUUAAGUACAAAAGAAGUAAUUUAAAAAUUUGUAAACUUGAGAAGUUCGUAUUGCCAAGAAUUAAAGAAGAUCAAGGGUAGUCAAAGGCCAGGAAAAUCUAAAAAUGAUGCCCAUAAACCAAAUAAUAGUGUAGUUUACGAAGAUGAAUUCCUUUAUUCAUCCUUUGAAGAGAAACUAUUAUUAUUACACCUUAAUAUUUGAUAUUAAUACGGAUAAUCUCUUAUACUGAUCGAAUUAGGCGUUCGCUCCAACGUCGGUAUAUCGGAAGCAAUAAUUACUACCAACCAAAGCAAGCAAUACGAUAUUGUAACUGUUCUUAAUAUUGCAGUAGCCUGAGCCACUUAAAGGAGAUUUUAUGACGAUGUAUUUUCCAUCGAAAGUUUCUAUGCAUUCUAGAAAAUUCUAAUGCGUUUUGAAUCCAUAUUCAAUAUUUUUCUUAUAUUCUUGUAUCAUCGAUACUUGAAAAAAUUAUUUGUGCUCUCAUACGUUGCAAAGAAAUAAUACUAAAAUUGAAGUUAAUCAAGAAAAGGACAAAUGACAGUAGGAAAUAUUAUUAAUGAUAAGACUUUUUCUCACAAAAAAGAAAAAAAGCAGAAGGUGAGCAAAAAUUUAGUCUUUCUUUAUCAUGCUUUAAAUAAAUUCCAACACGAGCGGUACAAAUUGCAGAGAAGAAGAAUAGCUAGAAUCAUUUCAGCAAAUAUUAGGAUCGUUAUUGCGAAUCAUCGAAUUUCCAAAUGCAACAAUGAAUUAUAAUUUUGUUUGUAAACAGAAUGUGUACAUCAACUAUUCAAUAUCAAUAUAAUAACUCAUCUGUACCAAGUUUAUAUGUUAUGCAGUGAAGCUUCUGAAUAUAUUUAUUCACCUUCGAAUGAAUUAAUCUUAAUUUAUUCAAAGGUAAUUAAUACAUAUUAAUUAAUCUUUAAUUAUAUCUAUAACUAAUCUAUAAAUUCUACAGGAAAUAAUUGUAU